GUGUGCAUCUCAGUUGCUGUAUGCAGUGUAUAAAACUCAUUUGUGUUGGUUUCUCCUCUUACAGCCCCUCCCCCAAACCUACCUUUCUACCUAUUGAGACGUCUGUGUACUUUACAUAGUGAAGUGGAUUUUUUUUAAAAGCAAAAUAGUCCAUGUCCAACAGCAGACUUCGGCCCAAUGCAAUCAUAGGAUACUCUCCCAUGUUUUGACCAUGCAUUCAUUUCCAGUCAUUUAACUUGGAAGCCCCGAACCAAAACCCAUGCCCAUCAGCAGCAGGAGAAAAGAACUAAGGAAUGUUGGCUGCGUUUAUUUAAAAAUGUAGGUGGUCUGUGGGUGAACUUCAUUCAUCCUCCUCCUAGCCAGCAAAUUGUCACCUGCAGUAUUUCAGCAUGGUUCUGGAAACUGCAAAAGCCCUAACGUUUAGGGGGAAAGGUGGCAACCCUAACCCCUGAGUUUCAGGAGAAGAAUGAGAGGUUCCCCUCUCCCCUUCGCCCUGAUGCUUUUGUUAGUAGACUAAGCUGCUUUGAGGAUUGCCAGCUUUCCCCCUUCCAGCAAGGCCCUUCCGCUUUUAAAAACUCAUGCCACGCAAUAAGGAGGGAGGAAACGCAAUAGCAGGCUGCAGCUUGGGGUUAACCUGUUAAAUCUGAAUCUGAAGCAGGAGACCUAAGUAGCUGUGGCUCUUCGUCUUCCUUCCACACAUGCACGCACCAGAUCCAUGCUCCCUCCUCUGUGUGGCAUCUUCAGAGACCUGCUAGCUGCAAUUGGCUGGGUAGGGGGUGUGGGGAAGGUGGAAGCAAGGAAUGGAGGUACACAGACACUGGAACAGGCACCCCCAACCUUCGGCCCUCCAGAUGUUUUGGACUACAA
This is a non-coding RNA of Podarcis lilfordi (Lilford's wall lizard), 867 nucleotides long. Lineage: Eukaryota; Metazoa; Chordata; Lepidosauria; Squamata; Lacertidae. The record is from the annotation of a GenBank genome assembly.